UUUUUUUUUUUUUUUUUUUUGAAGCUUCUGUUUUAUACAGUUGUACAGAAUUGGUGAUUUUGGUAGAAAAUACUGAUAGUAAAAUUCGUAAAAAUGGAGACUGGAGGCAAUUCUUUGCCGUCAGGUCCUGAUGGGGUGAAGAGAAAGGUUUGCUAUUUUUAUGACCCGGAGGUGGGCAAUUACUAUUAUGGGCAAGGUCACCCCAUGAAGCCGCAUCGCAUUCGAAUGACCCAUGCUCUUCUUGCCCACUAUGGUUUGCUCCAGCACAUGCAGGUCCUUAAGCCCUUUCCUGCCCGAGAUAGGGAUCUAUGCCGCUUCCAUGCCGAUGAUUAUGUAUAUUUCCUCCGCAGCAUUACCCCUGAAACCCAGCAGGACCAGCUCAGGCAGCUCAAGCGCUUUAAUGUAGGUGAAGAUUGCCCUGUCUUUGAUGGCCUCUACUCUUUUUGCCAAACUUAUGCUGGUGGCUCUGUUGGUGGUGCUGUCAAAUUAAACCAUGGUCUUUGUGACAUUGCUAUCAAUUGGGCCGGCGGCCUUCAUCAUGCUAAGAAGUGUGAAGCUUCUGGCUUUUGCUAUGUCAAUGACAUUGUCCUUGCAAUCUUGGAGCUUCUUAAACAGCAUGAGCGUGUUCUUUAUGUGGAUAUUGACAUUCACCAUGGUGAUGGUGUGGAGGAGGCAUUUUACACCACUGAUAGGGUCAUGACUGUUUCAUUUCACAAAUUUGGAGAUUAUUUUCCAGGUACAGGGGAUGUACGUGAUGUUGGAUAUGGGAAAGGGAAAUACUAUUCCCUUAAUGUUCCAUUGGAUGAUGGAAUAGACGAUGAGAGCUAUCAUUUCCUUUUUAAACCAAUAAUUGGAAAAGUAAUGGAAUUCUUUAAGCCUGGUGCUGUGGUUCUUCAGUGUGGCGCUGACUCGUUAUCUGGGGAUAGAUUAGGAUGCUUCAAUCUUUCAAUCAAGGGCCAUGCAGAGUGUGUGAAAUUCAUGAGAUCUUUCAAUGUCCCAUUAUUGCUAUUGGGUGGUGGUGGUUAUACCAUUCGGAAUGUUGCUCGCUGCUGGUGCUAUGAGACAGGAGUUGCACUUGGAAUGGAAGUUGAUAACAAGAUGCCACAGCAUGAGUAUUAUGAAUACUUUGGUCCUGACUAUACCCUCCAUGUUGCUCCUAGUAAUAUGGAGAAUAAGAAUUCGCGUCAAUUGCUGGAUGAUAUACGAUCCAAGCUUCUUGAUAAUCUCUUGAAGCUUCAACAUGCACCCAGUGUCCAAUUUCAGGAAAGACCACCCAAUACUGAGCUCCCAGAGGUGGAUGAAGAUCAGGAUGAUGGGGAUGAGAGAUGGGAUCCAAGUUCUGACAUGGAUGUUGAUGAUGAGCGGUAUUUUAUUUUGUUUCCUCACCCUACUCUCCUUGAAGAAAACUGAAAUAAAAUUUCCCCCCUUCUUUCAUAUUUGAUGUUAUCUAACUUGCAUUUUAUGCUGCAAGCCUUGACCAAGCAGAGCAAAGAGAGAAAUAAUUAAGACUGAAACAAAAGAUCUGGUAUGCUCUGUUCUGAGUGUCUUUUGCUAUAGAAACUUCAACUGAUCACCUCUUUUCUUCUUUUUUUUUUUUGGUCAAUAUUCUAAUUUUAGGAUGUAGGCAUAUGGAUAUUUUAGUUUCUAGAAAUGCUCUGGGUGAGUAAGAACAAUUUGGAUAAUAUACUCUCAAGAAUUGAGCUCUCUUUAAUAUAGCUAGAAGAGGGUGCACUGUCUUUGUCUUAUCGCUGUUUUCACUUUUACCAUGUCCAACUAUGAGAGUGUUUGGUUUUGCUACUUUUUAACUUUUUACUUAUUUUAAGUGUUUAAAAGUAAAUUUUUUAAAACGAUUAAAAAAAGAUAUGUAAUUGAGUGUUGUGAUUAGACCUGGCUAAGGGCUUUUUCCUAGUUGGAACUGCCAGUUUCUUGAUGCUUGGAGGCUUGAAAAGGAACCGGCCCGGAUUCAGACAGUUUGAACCGGUUCCUAUUCAAUUAUGCUUUCAGGCUGAUUCUAGUCUGGUUUUAAAGCAGUUUUGGUUCAAGUUUUAGAUGGUUACGGUUCCGUUGGGCCUCAGUUCAGUUCGGUUCUAGACGUUUCCAGGCCAGUUCGGUAUGAAUUUUAAGUCAACAUUCUUGAAAAAAUUUAAAUUUAAUAAAAUUACAAAUAAAAGAUCAACAUUCAUUUUUAAUUAAACAACGUCAUAUUCUGAUUUCUAAUGAUGAUUAAACCGACUAUCCAUUAAUUCGUCCAAAUCAUGAUCCAUAAAAUAAUUUCAUUUCCAAGAAAUUUAACAAAUCCUUCUUUAUAUCUCAAUUCACAUGAAUUAUAUUCCAAUAAAAUCCUAACACUAUCCAGUUUAAACCAACAAAAAAAUUCUCUUAUUUAGUUCUAAUAUUCUUCCAUCUUAAUUCCCAAUUUCAUUUAUUUAAAACACAAAUAAUUUCUUAUAAAUAAUUUAAGAAAUCUAUGGAAGUUUCAAUUUUCA
RNAcentral lists this unclassified non-coding RNA (2486 nucleotides) under Hevea brasiliensis (rubber tree). The record is from RNAcentral. Lineage: Eukaryota; Viridiplantae; Streptophyta; Magnoliopsida; Malpighiales; Euphorbiaceae.